AGUGAACGCUGGCGGUAGGCCUAACACAUGCAAGUCGAACGGCAGCACAGUAAGAGCUUGCUCUUACGGGUGGCGAGUGGCGGACGGGUGAGGAAUGCAUCGGAAUCUACUCUGUCGUGGGGGAUAACGUUGGGAAACUUACGCUAAUACCGCAUACGACCUACGGGUGAAAGCAGGGGAUCUUCGGACCUUGCGCGAUUGAAUGAGCCGAUGCCCGAUUAGCUAGUUGGCGGGGUAAGAGCCCACCAAGGCGACGAUCGGUAGCUGGUCUGAGAGGAUGAUCAGCCACACUGGAACUGAGACACGGUCCAGACUCCUACGGGAGGCAGCAGUGGGGAAUAUUGGACAAUGGGCGCAAGCCUGAUCCAGCCAUACCGCGUGGGUGAAGAAGGCCUUCGGGUUGUAAAGCCCUUUUGUUGGGAAAGAAAAGCAGUCGGUUAAUACCCGAUUGUUCUGACGGUACCCAAAGAAUAAGCACCGGCAA
RNAcentral lists this ribosomal RNA (484 nucleotides) under Stenotrophomonas acidaminiphila. Its description in RNAcentral is "bacterial SSU rRNA". It matches the Rfam family "Bacterial small subunit ribosomal RNA", at positions 29 to 499 of the family's 1533-position model. The record is from RNAcentral. Lineage: Bacteria; Pseudomonadati; Pseudomonadota; Gammaproteobacteria; Lysobacterales; Lysobacteraceae.